GUAAAGUCGAAAACGUUCGUGUGAGGGCGUUGUAUAUGAUCCGGAGGACAAUAUGGCCGAUCGAACUACGAAUGUUCAAAUACUGCGCGUUGGUAACUGCGCACUGAGACGCCGGACUAUUGUCGUUUUAGCUUGAUAAAGUCGAGAUUUUAACGAUCUCAUACUUGCGAGUGAAGAUACUAAGACUUGAUGAAAGAGAAAAAUAUCUGAUGCCAUAUGAAAGUAGCUAAGGGAGAAGAGAAAUUAGAAAUCGUAGUGAUGAGACCAACACCUAUUUACUUAUAUGAAAUAUUGUUAUUUUUUCCUAAAUGGUUAGUAACUGACGUACUUUGAUGAACAAAAUACAUAUACAAUGAUGA
Molecule: long non-coding RNA, 359 nt
Organism: Bombus pyrosoma
Lineage: Eukaryota; Metazoa; Arthropoda; Insecta; Hymenoptera; Apidae
Exons: 2
Source: RefSeq, a predicted model, not a curated record